Molecule: long non-coding RNA, 331 nt
Filed under: Olea europaea (common olive)
Lineage: Eukaryota; Viridiplantae; Streptophyta; Magnoliopsida; Lamiales; Oleaceae
Description: long non-coding RNA (OEUR_LNC003141)
Source: RNAcentral
UGCAAUAUAUUCAACUUCGUUCUAAGAAUACUUGGCAAAGUGGUAAUCACCCAAAAAGCAUAAACACAAAUUAAUGCCAUAAACCAAGCCUACUUACACCCUUUCAACUUAAUUCCUAAUUGUAAAUUGUGAGUAAAGACAAACUAAAGUCUAAGUGAAGAGAAAGAAUUAAGUUCAUACCUUUCUCGCCUUGGAUAUGAGGGAUGAAUGCGGGAAUUAUUGAGGAAUUGAAUGAGGGUUAGGAAUGUUGAUGGGUACGUGUGUGUUCGAAUGAGAGUAUUUCAUCCUAAGGCUUGAGAGAGGAAUAUGAGAGGGAAAUGAAGAAGGUGUG